CAACCAGAAGCCCACCCACGAGCUUUUCCUUAACAUAACAGCGUCAAAACGGACGCCAAUAGUCCCGACCAAGGGCCUUUACUUAAAGCUGCAAA
This is a long non-coding RNA of Etheostoma cragini (Arkansas darter), 95 nucleotides long. RefSeq lists it as uncharacterized. NCBI's taxonomy places the organism in Eukaryota, Metazoa, Chordata, Actinopteri, Perciformes, Percidae. The record is from RefSeq and is a predicted model, not a curated record. The transcript is spliced from 3 exons.